AUGCAUUGGGGGUUGCUUUGCUUUGCUUGGAGGUGCAAGAUGAUUCAUUGGGGGUUGCUUUGCUGGGAGGUGCAACGUGAUGCAUUGGGGGUUGCUUUGCUUGGAGGUGCAGAGCUGGGCCUGGGUGCUGGAACAUGGAGUUGCAAGGGCUGUUUGUUUUGCUCUGCAUUCCCAUUAUUUGUUGGGAUGAGUUUGUUUGCAUUGUUUGCUCUGUUCUUGGAGUUGCAAAGGCACAGAGUUGCAAAGGCUGUUCCUUUUGCAUUCCCAUUUGCAUCUGUUCCUUCUGCACUCCCAUUUGUUGGGAUGAGUUUGAUUGCAUUGUUUGUUCUGUUCUCGGAGUUGUUUGCUCUGCUCCCUUUGCUCUUCAUUCCCAUUUGCUUUUGGGAUGAGUUUCAACUGCAUUGUUUGCUCUGUUCUUGGGGUUGCAAGGGCUGUUCCUUUUGCUCUGCACUCCCAUUUGUUGUUGCAAUGAGUUUGACUGCAUUAUUUGCUCUGUUCUUGGAGCUGUUUGCUCUGCUCCUUUUGCUCUGCACCCCCAUGUGUUGCAAUGACUUUGCAUUGUUUGCUCUGCUCCUUUUGCUCUGCAUUCCCAUUUGUUGGGAUGUGUUUUAACUGCAUU
This 619-nucleotide long non-coding RNA is filed under the name Coturnix japonica (Japanese quail). Its description in RNAcentral is "lncRNA (ENSCJPG00005002325.1)". Lineage: Eukaryota; Metazoa; Chordata; Aves; Galliformes; Phasianidae. The record is from RNAcentral.